Molecule: long non-coding RNA, 97 nt
Organism: Octopus sinensis (East Asian common octopus)
Lineage: Eukaryota; Metazoa; Mollusca; Cephalopoda; Octopoda; Octopodidae
Exons: 3
Source: RefSeq, a predicted model, not a curated record
UGGAGAGGGUUGCUGGUGGAAGGUCAUAUGUAUGGCAGGAAUAUUUGGCUCCUUGCCAUACUUCCAGAAAGAGACAUAAGUUUCCAUUUGCUGUCCU